RNAcentral lists this ribosomal RNA (2272 nucleotides) under Escherichia coli. RNAcentral describes it as "partial 23S ribosomal RNA". It matches the Rfam family "Bacterial large subunit ribosomal RNA", at positions 458 to 2715 of the family's 2925-position model. Lineage: Bacteria; Pseudomonadati; Pseudomonadota; Gammaproteobacteria; Enterobacterales; Enterobacteriaceae. The record is from RNAcentral.
CUCCAAGGCUAAAUACUCCUGACUGACCGAUAGUGAACCAGUACCGUGAGGGAAAGGCGAAAAGAACCCCGGCGAGGGGAGUGAAAAAGAACCUGAAACCGUGUACGUACAAGCAGUGGGAGCACGCUUAGGCGUGUGACUGCGUACCUUUUGUAUAAUGGGUCAGCGACUUAUAUUCUGUAGCAAGGUUAACCGAAUAGGGGAGCCGAAGGGAAACCGAGUCUUAACUGGGCGUUAAGUUGCAGGGUAUAGACCCGAAACCCGGUGAUCUAGCCAUGGGCAGGUUGAAGGUUGGGUAACACUAACUGGAGGACCGAACCGACUAAUGUUGAAAAAUUAGCGGAUGACUUGUGGCUGGGGGUGAAAGGCCAAUCAAACCGGGAGAUAGCUGGUUCUCCCCGAAAGCUAUUUAGGUAGCGCCUCGUGAAUUCAUCUCCGGGGGUAGAGCACUGUUUCGGCAAGGGGGUCAUCCCGACUUACCAACCCGAUGCAAACUGCGAAUACCGGAGAAUGUUAUCACGGGAGACACACGGCGGGUGCUAACGUCCGUCGUGAAGAGGGAAACAACCCAGACCGCCAGCUAAGGUCCCAAAGUCAUGGUUAAGUGGGAAACGAUGUGGGAAGGCCCAGACAGCCAGGAUGUUGGCUUAGAAGCAGCCAUCAUUUAAAGAAAGCGUAAUAGCUCACUGGUCGAGUCGGCCUGCGCGGAAGAUGUAACGGGGCUAAACCAUGCACCGAAGCUGCGGCAGCGACGCUGAUGCGUUGUUGGGUAGGGGAGCGUUCUGUAAGCCUGUGAAGGUGUGCUGUGAGGCAUGCUGGAGGUAUCAGAAGUGCGAAUGCUGACAUAAGUAACGAUAAAGCGGGUGAAAAGCCCGCUCGCCGGAAGACCAAGGGUUCCUGUCCAACGUUAAUCGGGGCAGGGUGAGUCGACCCCUAAGGCGAGGCCGAAAGGCGUAGUCGAUGGGAAACAGGUUAAUAUUCCUGUACUUGGUGUUACUGCGAAGGGGGGACGGAGAAGGCUAUGUUGGCCGGGCGACGGUUGUCCCGGUUUAAGCGUGUAGGCUGGUUUUCCAGGCAAAUCCGGAAAAUCAAGGCUGAGGCGUGAUGACGAGGCACUACGGUGCUGAAGCAACAAAUGCCCUGCUUCCAGGAAAAGCCUCUAAGCAUCAGGUAACAUCAAAUCGUACCCCAAACCGACACAGGUGGUCAGGUAGAGAAUACCAAGGCGCUUGAGAGAACUCGGGUGAAGGAACUAGGCAAAAUGGUGCCGUAACUUCGGGAGAAGGCACGCUGAUAUGUAGGUGAAGCGACUUGCUCGUGGAGCUGAAAUCAGUCGAAGAUACCAGCUGGCUGCAACUGUUUAUUAAAAACACAGCACUGUGCAAACACGAAAGUGGACGUAUACGGUGUGACGCCUGCCCGGUGCCGGAAGGUUAAUUGAUGGGGUCAGCGCAAGCGAAGCUCUUGAUCGAAGCCCCGGUAAACGGCGGCCGUAACUAUAACGGUCCUAAGGUAGCGAAAUUCCUUGUCGGGUAAGUUCCGACCUGCACGAAUGGCGUAAUGAUGGCCAGGCUGUCUCCACCCGAGACUCAGUGAAAUUGAACUCGCUGUGAAGAUGCAGUGUACCCGCGGCAAGACGGAAAGACCCCGUGAACCUUUACUAUAGCUUGACACUGAACAUUGAGCCUUGAUGUGUAGGAUAGGUGGGAGGCUUUGAAGUGUGGACGCCAGUCUGCAUGGAGCCGGCCUUGAAAUACCACCCUUUAAUGUUUGAUGUUCUAACGUUGACCCGUGAUCCGGGUUGCGGACAGUGUCUGGUGGGUAGUUUGACUGGGGCGGUCUCCUCCUAAAGAGUAACGGAGGAGCACGAAGGUUGGCUAAUCCUGGUCGGACAUCAGGAGGUUAGUGCAAUGGCAUAAGCCAGCUUGACUGCGAGCGUGACGGCGCGAGCAGGUGCGAAAGCAGGUCAUAGUGAUCCGGUGGUUCUGAAUGGAAGGGCCAUCGCUCAACGGAUAAAAGGUACUCCGGGGAUAACAGGCUGAUACCGCCCAAGAGUUCAUAUCGACGGCGGUGUUUGGCACCUCGAUGUCGGCUCAUCACAUCCUGGGGCUGAAGUAGGUCCCAAGGGUAUGGCUGUUCGCCAUUUAAAGUGGUACGCGAGCUGGGUUUAGAACGUCGUGAGACAGUUCGGUCCCUAUCUGCCGUGGGCGCUGGAGAACUGAGGGGGGCUGCUCCUAGUACGAGAGGACCGGAGUGGACGCAUCACUGGUGU